RNAcentral lists this ribosomal RNA (756 nucleotides) under uncultured organism. RNAcentral's name for it is "bacterial SSU rRNA". It matches the Rfam family "Bacterial small subunit ribosomal RNA", at positions 576 to 1338 of the family's 1533-position model. The record is from RNAcentral.
CGGGAUAAUAAGUCAGUGGUGAAAUCCUGCGGCUUAACCGUAGAAUUGUCAUUGAUACUGUUAUUCUUGAGUUCAGUUGAGGUGGGCGGAAUGUAUAAUGUAGCGGUGAAAUGCUUAGAUAUUAUACAGAACACCGAUUGCGAAGGCAGCUCACUAAGCUGAUACUGACGCUGAGGCACGAAAGCGUGGGGAGCGAACAGGAUUAGAUACCCUGGUAGUCCACGCUGUAAACGAUGAUCACUCGCUGUUGGCAAUACAUCGUCAGCGGCUGAGCGAAAGCAUUAAGUGAUCCACCUGGGGAGUACGUCGGCAACGAUGAAACUCAAAGGAAUUGACGGGGGCCCGCACAAGCGGUGGAACAUGUGGUUUAAUUCGAUGAUACGCGAGGAACCUUACCUGGGCUUAAAUGCAGAACGACGGUUCCCGAAAGGGAUCCUUCUUCGGACGGACUGCAAGGUGCUGCAUGGUUGUCGUCAGCUCGUGCCGUGAGGUGUCGGGUUAAGUCCCAUAACGAGCGCAACCCCUAUUGUUAGUUGCCAGCGAGUAAUGUCGGGGACUCUAACGAAACUGCCGGUGUAAACCGAGAGGAAGGUGGGGAUGACGUCAAAUCAGCACGGCCCUUAUGUCCAGGGCUACACACGUGUUACAAUGGACGAUACAGAGGGAAGCUACUUGGCGACAAGAUGCUAAUCUCGAAAAUCGUUCUUAGUUCGGAUUGGAGUCUGCAACUCGACUUCAUGAAGCUGGAAUCGCUAG